Long non-coding RNA from Amphibalanus amphitrite, 955 nucleotides. RefSeq lists it as uncharacterized. NCBI's taxonomy places the organism in Eukaryota, Metazoa, Arthropoda, Thecostraca, Balanomorpha, Balanidae. The record is from RefSeq and is a predicted model, not a curated record. The transcript has 3 exons.
GGAAGUCGGUCCAGAGUCACUGCGCCGCGCGGUUGUGUGAGCAAGCCGUGGGCUAGGUACCGCUCCAGGUCAGACAAUGGUUGGCACUGAAGAGUGCGGCGACACUACAGAGCUGUGAACGAAGACGGUGAACGGCGAGAUGUGGUGACCGCUUGACUGACCUGUGCCCAAAGUCGUGAUCUACCGCUGGGGUCAGUGCGUGAGAAGCUGGACUCGGCACCAACGGAGGACGCAGCUCGACGAGGAAGAUAUGCUGUGUUGAGGGACGUCUGCCGGUUACGACCGGAAGGCUUCCGACGGGACUUGGCAGAACCCACAACAGCAGUAUGAACCCGGCGUGGAGUUAAUGCGUAAUUGCUCGCAUGAGCAACCGAAGGGCGACUUCCAGGCGAAGCUGCCGCAGAAUUCCUGGAGAUACGCUGGGACAUGGAUCAUAGCAAGGUGGCUCUCAGCGGCAGCUGACCGCUGAGCUGUGUCUGAAACAGCCAGAAGGAAGACUCGAGUUGUGGAUCCAGGGCACUACUGAACGGAAGGCCGGACCAGCUGUAGGGAGACUACAGAAAAGCCGUCGUUCUCAAUCUGCUGAACAGACUCCUACUGCAGAGGAUCAACUGGGGUUCGACGUGUUAGAACUGGGGUUAGACCGGUUACCAGUGCUCGUGUUCGUCACCUGUUGUUUGUCACUGCUGCGCUGCCGCUGUAAUGUUUGCCACCUGCUAAGCGUUCACAAUGUGUCUUAAGUGAAUAAUAACUUUUUUAGCGUUUGUCUUGAUUUGUAACGAGUAUAUCAAAUAUCAAUUAUCAAGCAUGUUAACCUUUCAUCAAAUGAAGGACUCCACAUAAAAAUAGUAUAGGCUGUGGUGGUACAGACACCUACCAUGCUUGGCCGACUGUUGUGUAUUGAUCUAGUCGUUGAAGCAUCCUGAAAGUCUGGAAAUAAACAGGCAUGGCCAAA